UAAAAGGGCCAUUGAAUGAGUAAAG
RNAcentral lists this unclassified non-coding RNA (25 nucleotides) under Mus musculus (house mouse). RNAcentral's name for it is "oocyte_clustered_small_RNA542". The record is from RNAcentral. Lineage: Eukaryota; Metazoa; Chordata; Mammalia; Rodentia; Muridae.